This 253-nucleotide ribosomal RNA is filed under the name uncultured bacterium. Its description in RNAcentral is "partial 16S ribosomal RNA". It matches the Rfam family "Bacterial small subunit ribosomal RNA", at positions 524 to 776 of the family's 1533-position model. The record is from RNAcentral.
UACGUAGGGUGCGAGCGUUACUCGGAAUUACUGGGCGUAAAGCGCACGUAGGCGGAUCGAUCAGUCAGGGGUGAAAUCCCAGGGCUCAACCCUGGAACUGCCUUUGAUACUGUCGAUCUGGAGUAUGGAAGAGGUGAGUGGAAUUCCGAGUGUAGAGGUGGAAUGCGUAGAGAUCCGGAAGAACACCGGUGGCGAAGGCGGCCUGCUGGGCAGUUGCUGACACUGAGGCGCGACAGCGUGGGGAGCAAACAGG